Molecule: long non-coding RNA, 1367 nt
Organism: Hypomesus transpacificus
Lineage: Eukaryota; Metazoa; Chordata; Actinopteri; Osmeriformes; Osmeridae
Exons: 3
Source: RefSeq, a predicted model, not a curated record
UCUAUGACCGAAACCCAUAUACCAGGGUAAAUCUCCUCAAGGCAAUGGAAUGGGCCUGUGGUGACAUAGGUGUGGAGUGUUUUCAAGGCUGGAUCCAGCACACCAGAGGGUUUUUACCCCGUUUUUCUUAGUUCUUGGUUGACAGUGAAUUGACAGAAAACCCCAUAGUGGUGGCCGUAUGCUGACCGACAGCAAGAGUUGGCAGUGGUGGAAAUGGUGAGGGCCAAGAAUGAUAUACGGCUGUUCGAAAUAAAGCAGGCAAUUGAGGAGAACAAUGACACCUUUUUCAAUGUGGCAUCUAUCAGCCUACCAACAGUAGCCCGCCUUUUAAAGAGGCACCAGGUACCAAUGAAACACAUGUACCUGGUGCCUUUUGAGAGAAACAAUGACCUGGUGAAACAUCUAAGGGCUUAGUAUGUUCAGAGGGUUAUGGUGCUUGACGCUGAUGUGAACCAUCACAAGUACAUUUUUGUUGAUGAAGCGGACUUUAACCUUGCCAAAACUCGUUGCCGUGGACGGAACAUCAUCGGCCAACGGGCCACUGUCCAAGUGCCUGGACAACGUGGAGGAAGCACUUCCAUGUGCGCAGCUAUAUCUGAAGAUGGUGUCAUAAGACUUAGACCAUUACUUGGCUCCUAUAAUGCUGCACAUCUUAUUGAGUUUCUCAAUGAAAUUGAGCCGGCCUGUCAAGGUGAAGGGGUCACCUAUGUAAUUGUGUGGGACAAUGUCAGCUUUCACCACGCACAGGUAGUUCAAGCAUGGUUUCAGGCCCAUCCUCGAUUCAUGACUCUACCUGCCUCCAUCCUCUCCUUUCCUCAACCCUUUUUUCCAGCAUGGAGGUGGAAGGUCCCUUGAGCGUGCCACCCUCCCUAAGGCCAUGGAUGAUGCAUGUGAUCACAUCAAUGUAGACCAAUGUCAAGCAUGGGUUCGUCACGCCAAAAUGUUUAUCCAAUGUGCUUGAACAAUGAUAACAUUCAUUGUGAUGUGGAUGAGAAUCUAUGGCCAAAUGCUCAAGACAGGCUUGAUCCAAAUGUAAUGUGUGCACUAAAUGUUAUGUUUUGUUCUCAUUUAAUUACAUAAUAGAAAGUAUACCUGUUAGAAUUAUAUCUGAAAAAUAUAAACUAAUUUGCCCAAAUGAUUGUUCAUUGAUCCUCCACUUGAUUACACAGAUAUUUUUGGAAAUUAUGUAAUGCAAGUGUGUUGCCAAAUGUGAAACUGUCAUCUGUAUUUUACAGUCCUGUAACAUUAAUUUCAGCACUUCUAAGGCCGAUUUGAAACAUGUAUCUUUCAUCCUUUGCUGUUGGAUGAACUGAUAAGGGCUAAACUGAAAUAAAAUCAUACUGUUGUGUUAGGUGAUUAAAACAAAU